AUUGAACGCUGGCGGCAUGCCUUACACAUGCAAGUCGAACGGCAGCACGGGUGCUUGCCCCUGGUGGCGAGUGGCGAACGGGUGAGUAAUACAUCGGAACAUGUCCUGUAGUGGGGGAUAGCCCGGCGAAAGCCGGAUUAAUACCGCAUACGAUCCACGGAUGAAAGCGGGGGACCUUCGGGCCUCGCGCUAUAGGGUUGGCCGAUGGCUGAUUAGCUAGUUGGUGGGGUAAAGGCCUACCAAGGCGACGAUCAGUAGCUGGUCUGAGAGGACGACCAGCCACACUGGGACUGAGACACGGCCCAGACUCCUACGGGAGGCAGCAGUGGGGAAUUUUGGACAAUGGGCGAAAGCCUGAUCCAGCAAUGCCGCGUGCGUGAAGAAGGCCUUCGGGUUGUAAAGCACUUUUGUCCGGAAAGAAAUCCUUGGCUCUAAUACAGUCGGGGGAUGACGGUACCGGAAGAAUAAGCACCGGCUAACUACGUG
RNAcentral lists this ribosomal RNA (486 nucleotides) under uncultured bacterium. RNAcentral's name for it is "partial 16S ribosomal RNA". It matches the Rfam family "Bacterial small subunit ribosomal RNA", at positions 30 to 507 of the family's 1533-position model. The record is from RNAcentral.